Molecule: ribosomal RNA, 134 nt
Filed under: Mycena sp.
Lineage: Eukaryota; Fungi; Basidiomycota; Agaricomycetes; Agaricales; Mycenaceae
Description: partial large subunit ribosomal RNA
Rfam family: Eukaryotic large subunit ribosomal RNA
Source: RNAcentral
GGGAAAAGCUCAAAUUUGAAAUCUGGCAGUUCUUGCGACUGUCCGAGUUGUAAUUUAGAGAAGUGUUAUCCGCGCUGGACCGUGUACAAGUCCCUUGGAAUAGGGCAUCAUAGAGGGUGAGAAUCCCGUCUUUG